Molecule: ribosomal RNA, 47 nt
Filed under: Steinernema minutum
Lineage: Eukaryota; Metazoa; Nematoda; Chromadorea; Rhabditida; Steinernematidae
Description: partial 28S ribosomal RNA
Source: RNAcentral
UUCGAACUAGACCUCAAUUUGAGCAAGAUUACCCGCUGAAUUUAACU